GACGAACGCUGGCGGCGUGCUUAACACAUGCAAGUCGAACGGAAAGGCCCUGCUUUUGUGGGGUGCUCGAGUGGCGAACGGGUGAGUAACACGUGAGUAACCUGCCCUUGACUUUGGGAUAACUUCAGGAAACUGGGGCUAAUACCGGAUAGGAGCUCCUGCUGCAUGGUGGGGGUUGGAAAGUUUCGGCGGUUGGGGAUGGACUCGCGGCUUAUCAGCUUGUUUGUGGGGUAGUGGCUUACCAAGGCUUUGACGGGUAGCCGGCCUGAGAGGGUUACCGGCCACAUUGGGACUGAGAUACGGCCCAGACUCCUACGGGAGGCAGCAGUGGGGAAUAUUGCACAAUGGGCGGAAGCCUGAUGCAGCAACGCCGCGUGCGGGAUGACGGCCUUCGGGUUGUAAACCGCUUUCGCCUGUGACGAAGCGUGAGUGACGGUAAUGGGUAAAGAAGCACCGGCUAACUACGUG
This 468-nucleotide ribosomal RNA is filed under the name uncultured bacterium. RNAcentral's name for it is "partial 16S ribosomal RNA". It matches the Rfam family "Bacterial small subunit ribosomal RNA", at positions 28 to 507 of the family's 1533-position model. The record is from RNAcentral.